Molecule: unclassified non-coding RNA, 376 nt
Filed under: uncultured Actinomycetes bacterium
Lineage: Bacteria; Bacillati; Actinomycetota; Actinomycetes
Description: uncultured actinobacterium contains 16S-23S intergenic spacer region
Source: RNAcentral
UCCGGUUUAUCACCGGCAGUCUCAUUAGAGUGCCCUUUCGUAGCAACUAAUGACAAGGGUUGCGCUCGUUGCGGGACUUAACCCAACAUCUCACGACACGAGCUGACGACGGCCAUGCAGCACCUGUGUUCCCGCCAGCCGAACUGAAGGGCUCCAUCUCUGGUGCCCAUACGGGACAAGUCAAACCUAGGUAAGGUUCUUCGCGUUGCAUCGAAUUAAUCAGCAUGCUCCGCCGCUUGUGCGGGCCCCCGUCAAUUCCUUUGAGUUUUAGCCUUGCGGCCGUACUCCCCAGGCGGGGCGCUUAAUGCGUUAGCUGCGGCACGGAGACCGUGGAAGGUCCCCACACCUAGCGCCCAACGUUUACGGCAUGGACUAC